Zingiber officinale is the source of this 106-nucleotide small nucleolar RNA. The record is from RefSeq and is a predicted model, not a curated record. NCBI's taxonomy places the organism in Eukaryota, Viridiplantae, Streptophyta, Magnoliopsida, Zingiberales, Zingiberaceae.
AAACCAUGGUAGGGACACUGCCUUCACAAAAUCUUGAAUCUAUCCCAUGCUACAAAUAGUGAUUCUCCAUCCGUCUGAGCAAAGUUUGUGAUGUAAUUCCUCAUGU